GACGAACGCUGGCGGCGUGCUUAACACAUGCAAGUCGAACGGAAAGGCCCUGCUUUGGUGGGGUGCUCGAGUGGCGAACGGGUGAGUAACACGUGAGUAACCUGCCCUUGACGUUGGGAUAACUUCAGGAAACUGGGGCUAAUACCGGAUAGAAGCUCCUGCUGCAUGGUGGGGGUUGGAAAGUUUCGGCGGUUGGGGAUGGACUCGCGGCUUAUAAGCUUGUUGGUGGGGUGGUGGCUUACCAAGGCUUUGACGGGUAGCCGGCCUGAGAGGGUGACCGGCCCCAUUGGGACUGAGAUACGGCCCAGACUCCUACGGGAGGCAGCAGUGGGGAAUAUUGCACAAUGGGCGGAAGCCUGAUGCAGCAACGCCGCGUGCGGGAUGACGGCCUUCGGGUUGUAAACCGCUUUCGCCUGUGACGAAGCGUGAGUGACGGUAAUGGGUAAAGAAGCACCGGCUAACUACGUG
RNAcentral lists this ribosomal RNA (468 nucleotides) under uncultured bacterium. RNAcentral's name for it is "partial 16S ribosomal RNA". It matches the Rfam family "Bacterial small subunit ribosomal RNA", at positions 28 to 507 of the family's 1533-position model. The record is from RNAcentral.